UGGGGAAUAUUGCGCAAUGGGGGCAACCCUGACGCAGCAACGCCGCGUGAAGGAUGAAGGUCUUCGGAUUGUAAACUUUUGUCUUUGGUGAAGAUAGUGACGGUAGCCAAGGAGGAAGCCACGGCUAACUACGUGCCAGCAGCCGCGGUAAUACGUAGGUGGCAAGCGUUGUCCGGAUUUACUGGGUGUAAAGGGCGUGUAGACGGGUUAGCAAGUCAGAUGUGAAAUACCGCAGCUUAACUGCGGGGCUGCAUUUGAAACUGCAAAUCUUGAGUGCGGGAGAGGAAAGCGGAAUUCCUAGUGUAGCGGUGAAAUGCGUAGAUAUUAGGAGGAACACCAGUGGCGAAGGCGGCUUUCUGGACCGUAACUGACGUUGAGGCGCGAAAGCGUGGGUAGCAAACAGG
RNAcentral lists this ribosomal RNA (404 nucleotides) under uncultured bacterium. Its description in RNAcentral is "bacterial SSU rRNA". It matches the Rfam family "Bacterial small subunit ribosomal RNA", at positions 355 to 776 of the family's 1533-position model. The record is from RNAcentral.